Molecule: ribosomal RNA, 488 nt
Filed under: uncultured bacterium
Lineage: Bacteria
Description: bacterial SSU rRNA
Rfam family: Bacterial small subunit ribosomal RNA
Source: RNAcentral
AUUGAACGCUGGCGGCAUGCCUUACACAUGCAAGUCGAACGGCAGCACGGGAGCAAUCCUGGUGGCGAGUGGCGAACGGGUGAGUAAUAUAUCGGAACGUGCCCAGUCGUGGGGGAUAACGUAGCGAAAGCUACGCUAAUACCGCAUACGAUCUACGGAUGAAAGCGGGGGAUCGCAAGACCUCGCGCGAAUGGAGCGGCCGAUGUCAGAUUAGGUAGUUGGUGGGGUAAAGGCUCACCAAGCCAACGAUCUGUAGCUGGUCUGAGAGGACGACCAGCCACACUGGAACUGAGACACGGUCCAGACUCCUACGGGAGGCAGCAGUGGGGAAUUUUGGACAAUGGGCGCAAGCCUGAUCCAGCCAUUCCGCGUGCAGGAUGAAGGCCUUCGGGUUGUAACUGCUUUGUACGGUAACGAAACGGACGAGCUCUAAUACAGUUUGUCUAAUGACGGUACCGUAAGAAUAAGCACCGGCUAACUAACGUGCC